CAGUCGCCGCGGGAAUACGUAGGGUGCAAGCGUUAAUCGGAAUUACUGGGCGUAAAGCGUGCGCAGGCGGUUAUAUAAGACAGAUGUGAAAUCCCCGGGCUCAACCUGGGAACUGCAUUUGUGACUGUAUAGCUAGAGUACGGCAGAGGGGGAUGGAAUUCCGCGUGUAGCAGUGAAAUGCGUAGAUAUGCGGAGGAACACCGAUGGCGAAGGCAAUCCCCUGGGCCUGUACUGACGCUCAUGCACGAAAGCGUGGGGAGCAAACAGGAUUAGUUACCCGCGUAGUCCCUGUCUCUUAUAC
Molecule: ribosomal RNA, 301 nt
Filed under: uncultured bacterium
Lineage: Bacteria
Description: partial 16S ribosomal RNA
Rfam family: Bacterial small subunit ribosomal RNA
Source: RNAcentral